Molecule: ribosomal RNA, 441 nt
Filed under: uncultured bacterium
Lineage: Bacteria
Description: partial 16S ribosomal RNA
Rfam family: Bacterial small subunit ribosomal RNA
Source: RNAcentral
CCUACGGGGGACAGCAGUGGGGAAUAUUGCACAAUGGGGGAAACCCUGAUGCAGCAACGCCGCGUGAAGGAAGACGGUUUUCGGAUUGUAAACUUCUGUUCUUAGUGAAGAAUAAUGACGGUAGCUAAGGAGCAAGCCACGGCUAACUACGUGCCAGCAGCCGCGGUAAUACGUAGGUGGCAAGCGUUGUCCGGAAUUACUGGGUGUAAAGGGAGCGCAGGCGGGAAGCCAAGUCAGCUGUGAAAACUACGGGCUUAACUUGUAGACUGCAGUUGAAACUGGUUUUCUAGAGUUGGAGAGAAGUAUGCGGAAUUCGUGGUGUAGCGGUGAAAUGCAUAGAUAUCACGAAGAACUCCGAUUGCGAAGGCAGCAUACCGGCUCCAUACUGACGCUGAGGCACGAAAGCGUGGGGAUCGAACAGGAUUAGAUACCCGAGUAGUC